RNAcentral lists this unclassified non-coding RNA (409 nucleotides) under uncultured fungus. Its description in RNAcentral is "partial contains small subunit ribosomal RNA, internal transcribed spacer 1, and 5.8S ribosomal RNA". The stretch from base 1 to 73 matches the Rfam family "Eukaryotic small subunit ribosomal RNA", at positions 1759 to 1831 of the family's 1831-position model. The record is from RNAcentral. Lineage: Eukaryota; Fungi.
GCAAACUUGGUCAUUUAGAGGAAGUAAAAGUCGUAACAAGGUUUCCGUAGGUGAACCUGCGGAAGGAUCAUCAAUGAAUUUCCAAAAUUCAAUUGGCUUUGGUGGUUGGGGUUUCGGCCCUGUCUCCAUUGCCUUAUCAACCAUCAGUCUCUGUUCCUGCCUCAAGGUGUCUCGACAAUGCCUACUUGUUUGGCAUUGGAUGCCCGAGCCCUUCGUGAAUGGACUUUGACUUUUUGAGUAGUUUAGAGUUGGGUUCGCCUAGUUUUUUUUGGUAGGUUUUUUUAUCUUCCAACAAAAAUUGUGCGCAUACCCCUCUCUUUAUUACUCGUUAUUGUGGGCAAUUAAACAAAAUUAAAAUACAACUUUUAACGAUGGAUCUCUUGGCUCCCGCAUCGAUGAAGAACGCAGC